Molecule: ribosomal RNA, 2671 nt
Filed under: Escherichia coli
Lineage: Bacteria; Pseudomonadati; Pseudomonadota; Gammaproteobacteria; Enterobacterales; Enterobacteriaceae
Description: 23S ribosomal RNA
Rfam family: Bacterial large subunit ribosomal RNA
Source: RNAcentral
UUAAGCGACUAAGCGUACACGGUGGAUGCCCUGGCAGUCAGAGGCGAUGAAGGACGUGCUAAUCUGCGAUAAGCGUCGGUGAGGUGAUAUGAACCGUUAUAACCGGCGAUUUCCGAAUGGGGAAACCCAGUGUGUUUCGACACACUAUCAUUAACUGAAUCCAUAGGUUAAUGAGGCGAACCGGGGGAACUGAAACAUCUAAGUACCCCGAGGAAAAGAAAUCAACCGAGAUUCCCCCAGUAGCGGCGAGCGAACGGGGAGGAGCCCAGAGCCUGAAUCAGUGUGUGUGUUAGUGGAAGCGUCUGGAAAGGCGUGCGAUACAGGGUGACAGCCCCGUACACAAAAAUGCACAUAUUGUGAGCUCGAUGAGUAGGGCGGGACACGUGGUAUCCUGUCUGAAUAUGGGGGGACCAUCCUCCAAGGCUAAAUACUCCUGACUGACCGAUAGUGAACCAGUACCGUGAGGGAAAGGCGAAAAGAACCCCGGCGAGGGGAGUGAAAAAGAACCUGAAACCGUGUACGUACAAGCAGUGGGAGCCUCUUUAUGGGGUGACUGCGUACCUUUUGUAUAAUGGGUCAGCGACUUAUAUUCUGUAGCAAGGUUAACCGAAUAGGGGAGCCGAAGGGAAACCGAGUCUUAACUGGGCGUUAAGUUGCAGGGUAUAGACCCGAAACCCGGUGAUCUAGCCAUGGGCAGGUUGAAGGUUGGGUAACACUAACUGGAGGACCGAACCGACUAAUGUUGAAAAAUUAGCGGAUGACUUGUGGCUGGGGGUGAAAGGCCAAUCAAACCGGGAGAUAGCUGGUUCUCCCCGAAAGCUAUUUAGGUAGCGCCUCGUGAAUUCAUCUCCGGGGGUAGAGCACUGUUUCGGCAAGGGGGUCAUCCCGACUUACCAACCCGAUGCAAACUGCGAAUACCGGAGAAUGUUAUCACGGGAGACACACGGCGGGUGCUAACGUCCGUCGUGAAGAGGGAAACAACCCAGACCGCCAGCUAAGGUCCCAAAGUCAUGGUUAAGUGGGAAACGAUGUGGGAAGGCCCAGACAGCCAGGAUGUUGGCUUAGAAGCAGCCAUCAUUUAAAGAAAGCGUAAUAGCUCACUGGUCGAGUCGGCCUGCGCGGAAGAUGUAACGGGGCUAAACCAUGCACCGAAGCUGCGGCAGCGACACUAUGUGUUGUUGGGUAGGGGAGCGUUCUGUAAGCCUGUGAAGGUGGCCUGUGAGGGUUGCUGGAGGUAUCAGAAGUGCGAAUGCUGACAUAAGUAACGAUAAAGCGGGUGAAAAGCCCGCUCGCCGGAAGACCAAGGGUUCCUGUCCAACGUUAAUCGGGGCAGGGUGAGUCGACCCCUAAGGCGAGGCCGAAAGGCGUAGUCGAUGGGAAACAGGUUAAUAUUCCUGUACUUGGUGUUACUGCGAAGGGGGGACGGAGAAGGCUAUGUUGGCCGGGCGACGGUUGUCCCGGUUUAAGCGUGUAGGCUGGUUUUCCAGGCAAAUCCGGAAAACCAAGGCUGAGGCGUGAUGACGAGGCACUACGGUGCUGAAGCGACAAAUGCCCUGCUUCCAGGAAAAGCCUCUAAGCAUCAGGUAACAUCAAAUCGUACCCCAAACCGACACAGGUGGUCAGGUAGAGAAUACCAAGGCGCUUGAGAGAACUCGGGUGAAGGAACUAGGCAAAAUGGUGCCGUAACUUCGGGAGAAGGCACGCUGAUAUGUAGGUGAAGCGACUUGCUCGUGGAGCUGAAAUCAGUCGAAGAUACCAGCUGGCUGCAACUGUUUAUUAAAAACACAGCACUGUGCAAACACGAAAGUGGACGUAUACGGUGUGACGCCUGCCCGGUGCCGGAAGGUUAAUUGAUGGGGUUAGCGGUAACGCGAAGCUCUUGAUCGAAGCCCCGGUAAACGGCGGCCGUAACUAUAACGGUCCUAAGGUAGCGAAAUUCCUUGUCGGGUAAGUUCCGACCUGCACGAAUGGCGUAAUGAUGGCCAGGCUGUCUCCACCCGAGACUCAGUGAAAUUGAACUCGCUGUGAAGAUGCAGUGUACCCGCGGCAAGACGGAAAGACCCCGUGAACCUUUACUAUAGCUUGACACUGAACAUUGAGCCUUGAUGUGUAGGAUAGGUGGGAGGCUUUGAAGUGUGGACGCCAGUCUGCAUGGAGCCGACCUUGAAAUACCACCCUUUAAUGUUUGAUGUUCUAACGUUGGCCCGUAAUCCGGGUUGCGGACAGUGUCUGGUGGGUAGUUUGACUGGGGCGGUCUCCUCCUAAAGAGUAACGGAGGAGCACGAAGGUUGGCUAAUCCUGGUCGGACAUCAGGAGGUUAGUGCAAUGGCAUAAGCCAGCUUGACUGCGAGCGUGACGGCGCGAGCAGGUGCGAAAGCAGGUCAUAGUGAUCCGGUGGUUCUGAAUGGAAGGGCCAUCGCUCAACGGAUAAAAGGUACUCCGGGGAUAACAGGCUGAUACCGCCCAAGAGUUCAUAUCGACGGCGGUGUUUGGCACCUCGAUGUCGGCUCAUCACAUCCUGGGGCUGAAGUAGGUCCCAAGGGUAUGGCUGUUCGCCAUUUAAAGUGGUACGCGAGCUGGGUUUAGAACGUCGUGAGACAGUUCGGUCCCUAUCUGCCGUGGGCGCUGGAGAACUGAGGGGGGCUGCUCCUAGUACGAGAGGACCGGAGUG